UUUAAGUAACCUAUAUUUUAAAAUUGUGUUCUUUUAUUUGCUCUUGGCUGCAUUUCAAUUUGAUUUUAUGCUCAUUCAUUUAAUAGUAUGAUUAAUUUGUUUUUUCUCGUUCUGUUACAGAGAUUACCCGAUAAGUUAAGCUUAUUCUGAUCUACAAAUAGGAUAGGAUGGUGUGCAAUGGUGAAAUUCUACCUGCAUUAUUACCUGCAAAUAUGAUACCAUUGAUUGUAGGAGUCCUUUUCUCCAGAAAGUAGCAGUAUCCCAAGAAAUUCUAAAAGUGCCUUUUUUCCACAACAAAGACAUUACUUGUUCAUUUGUGGAAAUGAAUUAUCAACAUCAAUGGUACAGUACACAGUCAAGAGUACAAAGAGUAAAAACUCUGAAUGCCAUGUAUUAUGCGACAUUGGUUCCUCAUUCACUCCAGGUAGUAGAAGUACCUGAAGUCCUGAGGAGAGCGUGAAGGUGCCUUUUUUACAUUUGGAACAGAAACAGUGUGUUAUUGCCAAAGGAAGGGUUUAUGAAACUAUGAGACGGAUUGAUUGGUUAACAAAUGGGAGAGAUUGGAAUGUUAAUUUUAACCCUAACGAUGACGACAUGGGAUGUCUGCAUGGGUAUCCUUUCUGAAUUUGGUUUUCAUUCCACACAUGUAAACGUUGAAACACUACAUUCUACAGCUAAUUCAGAUUGGCCAACAGUUGAGAGAGAUUGGAACUGAUAUCUUUGCUUACUGAAAAGAUAAGUCGUCUCCUAUGGUGUUUUAGCUGUUAACCUUUCAUCUUGGAGGCUCUUGUAGUUAAUUAAGGAACAUUAGAAGAACUCCGGAUACCAUUAAAUUAUGAAAUUAUGGAGCAUUGGUUGUAUUAGUCCUCAUUUGCCCUGUCAAAGUAGCUGUGCCCAUGGUUCUAAAGAAAGCAUGAAAGUGCCUUUUUUUAUUGGGAACGAAGACAGUGUGCUGAAAAAGGAUUUAUGACAAGGAACUGAUUGUUGUCCCACAAAUGAAAAGGAAUUGCAGCUAAUUUUGGUGCUACUAAAACAACUGAUGCUUUUGACGUCUUCACCUUGCAACAUUAUGCAGUUAAUUUUUGCAGUAACAAAGGGAGGCAAUUGGAAAUUAAUUAAUUUGGAUGCAACUGGAACAAAUUAUCUGCAGUGGUAUCCCUCCUAGAUUUGGUUGGUUUGCUCAUCACACUGAUAGACUUUAGAACGCCACUUUCUACAAUUAAUUAAGAGUAAAUUGGUAUUUAUCAUUGAUGUAUCUAUGGAGUUUAUCUAUCUAUGGAUUUUCUUUUUAACCUUUUUCUGUUGUCUAUGUCGUAUUAUUUGACGUUAAUCUAUGUCGUGAUCUAUGGUUGUGAUGUAAAAUGGUGUAAAAUUAUUGUUUGUUUAUUUUAUAAUUCAGCUGUU
Molecule: long non-coding RNA, 1404 nt
Filed under: Agrilus planipennis (emerald ash borer)
Lineage: Eukaryota; Metazoa; Arthropoda; Insecta; Coleoptera; Buprestidae
Description: uncharacterized LOC108744120, transcript variant X4
Source: RNAcentral